This 1661-nucleotide long non-coding RNA is filed under the name Sarcophilus harrisii (Tasmanian devil). RNAcentral describes it as "lncRNA (ENSSHAG00000031821.1)". Lineage: Eukaryota; Metazoa; Chordata; Mammalia; Dasyuromorphia; Dasyuridae. The record is from RNAcentral.
UGAAUUCAUCAGAAGUCCAGAGGUUCACUGGCAGAGAAGGAAUGGCUUGGGGAGCUGCCACAGAGCCCCGAAACCUCAUGCCUGGUCCGUGACUUGAAGGAGACUUUUAAUAGCUUUGAAGGGGAGAGGACUUCCAAACCUUGUGUCACCCUCUUAAUGUCAUCCUCCAAUCAACGACGGUGGAGUCCUCCUAGGCCCUGAGAACCACCUGGAAACACUUGCCCAAGCUCUCCCACUCAGGACUUCCAGCAAGGAGACCUGGGAAGAGCCAGAUGUUCUUUGAAUUAUCCGGCCUGAAAGGAUAGACACAGACUGGGUAGAGUCCAAAGGAGAAAAGGGUCUCUGCCUCUGGCAAAGGGGGACCGAGGGCUUGAGUUCUCGGGACUGGGACAAGUCCCACAUGAGUCUGAAUUCCACCUCUGGGAACACCAGACUUUUUUGCAGAAAUAAACCUGUAGAAGGUAGAGACUGCUUUGGUCUGUCUCUAUUCCGAGGCUUAGUGCAACACCUGGCACAGAGAAGGCCCUUAAAUUUGCUCAUUGAUCGACUGAUUGAUUGGAAACUGAAGGUCCCUGUUGCAGAAGCAGCCAGCGAGGUCAGAGGGACCCCGUGUCUUAGCAUGAAGCCAUUCUUGGGGGAAGCUAAGGCAGCGUGUGUGGGUGAAUGGGUGGGACCAUGGGAAUCAAGCUCUGGGAAGCAAAUAAUGACCAUUCAUUUCAUAUCUGGAGAAGAACCAGCAUGAAGAGUUCCCUUCAUCGCCAGAUGAAGACAAAAAAUGUCUGGCGAUGAGUGGACCCGGAGUUUGAACCACUACCCCUUUCCAUGGGUGAGCAGGGGCAGGGCUGGGGACAAAGAUUUCCUUAAUGGAGCCACCUGACCCUUGUGGAAAUCAGAUUCUUCUUGAGGCAGCUGAUGGGGUGCUGGGUCUGGAUUCAUCAGGAAGAGUUCAAAUCCAACCGCAGAUGCUUCCUAGUCAGGCGACCCUGGACAAGUCACUUAUCCUGUGUAUCUGUUUUCUCAUCUGUAAAAUGAGCUGGAGAAGGAAACUAUCAUCUUUGCCAAGAAAACCCCAGAUGGUGGCACAGAGCUGGACGUGACUGAUAAAACGACUGAACACCUCAUAGGACUUCUAUAAAAAUCAAAUGGGAUGACAUUUGUUUAAAAAUCACUCGGUGCAGUGCUUGGCACAUAGCAGACUUUAUCCCUUUCAUUCUAGGACCCUCCUGCCUUCUGUCCUAAGCACUGCUUAUAAGCCUUUAAUAAAUGUUCCUUCAAUUUUUAUUCUAUAAGAAAUGAUGAGCAGGCCGAUUCCAGGAAGGCCUGGAGAGACUUCCAUGAGCUGAUGCUGAGUGAAGCCAGCAGAGCCAGGAGAUCAUGGGCAUGUGAUGAUCAACAGUGAUAGACUUGGCUCUUCUCAGCAAAGCAGUGAUUCAAGACAAUUCCAAUAGAUUUGCCAUCGGCAGCUGGAGAGAGCACAAUGGAGACUGAAUGUGGAUCGAAAAAUCGUAUUUUCACGGUUUUGUUUGUCUUUUCUCAAGGGUUCUUCCCUUUUGUUCUGAUUUUUAACACAUGACAAAUAUCGAAAUACAUUUAAAAGGAUUUCACAUGUUUCACCUAUAUCAGAUUGGGGAGGAGGGGAGGAAGGAAGGAAGAAAAAUUUG